Molecule: long non-coding RNA, 897 nt
Organism: Phasianus colchicus (ring-necked pheasant)
Lineage: Eukaryota; Metazoa; Chordata; Aves; Galliformes; Phasianidae
Source: Ensembl
GACAGCGUUGCAAGAGGUGUUAACAGGUGUUACCAAUUUAUCAGCACCACCUCUGAUAAUCUGGUAGCAUCCAGCUGCACCACCUUUCUUUUGGUCUGUGUUAAGGGAUAUGAGGGAUUUCAUUUUCUCAGAGUUGGACUCCACUAUGCUAUUCUGCUGCCAAAAGCUGAAGGCUGUAUUUGCAGAGGAUAUGUUAAGCUCCUAAAGGAGAGGAAAAAAAUUGAAUACCUGUCAGGGGAAGGAGUUAAGUUGACAAUUAAGACAGCUCAGUGCUCUGUCGCUGCGGCUCAGCUGGAGCAGACAGGGACAGGGAUGCUGAAGCACAGCUCUCUCCUCCCUGUGACUGCAUCAGGCAGCCUCACCAGAACCUCCCAUCUGUGUGUCUGCAGGGCCACGGACAGCCUCAGCCCUCCCUCAAGGGUGCUGAGACGGAGGAAACCAGCAGUGUCUGCCCUCAGAAGGGGCAGCUUAGCAGCUGCUGCCUCUGGUGUGCCUUGCUCUGCCCUGGGGUAGUUCUCCAGGCAACUCUUUGCUUUCCUUCUGCCUCAGGAGUUGCUCUCACAGAAGUCAACGUCAGGUUCUUCCUUCUGCCUUUGCUUAUUCUAAGGAUGGUGCUGGUCCAGCAAGGAGAGAGGAUAUGGGUCCACUGCAGCCGGAAAAGGGAAAAUGGAUGUGAUCCUCUGGAAGCCAUGCUCUAAGUGGCCAUCUCCACUGUCAUUGAUGGAGAAGCACAGCUCAUGACUUACGAUUUCUCACAAGUAGCAGCACUGCAAUUUGAUUCAUGUGCCCUGGAACCAAUGAAGUCAGUAUGGUUGUGUGGAUGUGUCUCCUUUCUCGGAAUGGGUCAGGGUGUGACCUGCAUACAAUAGUCAUAUACAGGUACAAACAACUUACUCU